Molecule: ribosomal RNA, 500 nt
Filed under: uncultured bacterium
Lineage: Bacteria
Description: partial 16S ribosomal RNA
Rfam family: Bacterial small subunit ribosomal RNA
Source: RNAcentral
AUUGAACGCUGGCGGCAUGCCUUACACAUGCAAGUCGAACGGCAGCACGGGAGCAAUCCUGGUGGCGAGUGGCGAACGGGUGAGUAAAGUAUCGGAACGUGCACAGCCGUGGGGGAUAACGUAGUGAAAGCUACGCUAAUACCGCAUACGAUCUAUGGAUGAAAGCGGGGGAUCGCAAGACCUCGCGCGAUUGGAGCGGCCGAUAUCAUAUUAGGUAGUUGGUGGGGUGAAGGCUCACCGAGCCGACGAUCUGUAGCUGGUCUGAGAGGACAACCAGCCACACUGGGACUGAGAGACUGCCCAGACUCCUACGGAAGGCAGCAGUGGGGAAUGUUGGACAAUGGGCGCAAUCCUGAUCCAGCCAUGCCUCGUGCAGGAUGAAGGCCUUCGGGUUGUAAACUGCUUUUGUACGGAACGAAAAGGUUUGGCCUAAUAAGCUGAGCUCAUGACGGUACCGUAAGAAUAAGCACCGGCUAACUACGUGCCAGCCGCCGCCGUAA